UACGAAGGGGGCUAGCGUUGUUCGGAAUUACUGGGCGUAAAGCGCACGUAGGCGGACUACUAAGUCAGGGGUGAAAUCCCGGGGCUCAACCCCGGAACUGCCUUUGAUACUGAUAGUCUCGAGUCCGGAAGAGGUGAGUGGAAUUCCGAGUGUAGAGGUGAAAUUCGUAGAUAUUCGGAGGAACACCAGUGGCGAAGGCGGCUCACUGGUCCGGUACUGACGCUGAGGAGCGAAAGCGUGGGGAGCGAACAGG
This 253-nucleotide ribosomal RNA is filed under the name uncultured bacterium. RNAcentral's name for it is "partial 16S ribosomal RNA". It matches the Rfam family "Bacterial small subunit ribosomal RNA", at positions 524 to 776 of the family's 1533-position model. The record is from RNAcentral.